Brassica rapa (field mustard) is the source of this 6132-nucleotide RNA transcript. RefSeq lists it as uncharacterized. The record is from RefSeq and is a predicted model, not a curated record. Lineage: Eukaryota; Viridiplantae; Streptophyta; Magnoliopsida; Brassicales; Brassicaceae.
UUUGAUUAACAGGUUAACAGACAUCCAAUUAGAAGAUUCAUUUGUGGCUCUGAUUCAUGCUAAGAGAUAAAAGCUGUGAUUCAUGGUUGAACGACAAUGAACGGAAAAUAGAGAUCUAGCGCAGCGGCGGCGCACCACCAGAAACAGCUCUCCGAUAAUCUUCUUGACAUGUCUUCCUCCCAUGGCAGAUGGCUCUCAUCCACUGGUCUCCCAGACUCCCACACUUUCAGCCAUCCCCCAAUGAUUACGGAUACUAUGCCAGUGGUAGUCAACGCGGUGGUCUUGUUCAGAAAAAAAAUCAGAAUGCUCAGAGAGGGUUUAAUGGAGGAAAUGAGAUAGCUAGAUACGUAUGGUAUCAAAUGUUUCUUUCAAAAGUGAAUAUUUUAAUCAGUUGUUGUAUCUUAUUGAAGAUUCAGUCUGUAGAGUACAAUGUUAGCUAGCUUCUUUCUGGGUUUACUUUCAUAGCUUCUGUUGCAGGCUUAUGGUGUUGUUUGGUGACAUGUCAAGAAGAGAAAGUCGCUAUGUACUUGACAUACUUUUCUAUUAGCGUAGCUCUCUUCCUGUAUUUUUAUUUGGUAUUUUUCCUUAGUUGUGUUUUUGUGAAUAUCUUACAAUCAUAUAGCUGUCAAAAAUAUUAGUGUUAAAUUAGUUUAGCCGGCUAACAAAUAUGUUUAUAGUUUAUUAAAUUAGUUUAGACGGCAACAAAUAUGUUUCAAGCUAUUAAACUUAAACUAAUUUAGCUGGCUAAAUUAAACUUAAACUUAAACUAAUUUAGCUGGCUAACAAAUAUAUGUUUUUGUACUUAUUUUCUUUGAUUUUAUUUUGACUUUAUUUUAGCCGGCUAAUAAAUAUUAAAUCAUAUAGUUAAUACGUAAAUUAGUACGGUUAAAAUGUAAUUUUUAUAUUUUUAUAAAUUAGCAUGGUUAUAUUCCAAUUUAUCCGUAUAUUUUGCAUAUUAACUAAUGUUUUGAGUUAAAACUACCAGCUAUUGCAGUUGAUGAUAGUUAUGUUAAUUAGUAAAUGAAUAAUAUUUAAAAUAUAGCUAUGUAUGAUUGAACCAGUGACUAACCGAUUUAUAUAAAAUGUCUGAAGUAUAGAUUGUUGGAUGUAAAUAGAAUGGUUAUGUUUUAAUUUGUUCAGCUAACAAACCAGUUUUCCAAUUAUUUUGAAUGGUUGUUGGUUAUUUAAAUUAGUGGUGGACUAACAUAUAUAAUUAUCCGGUCAUUGUUAUUGUUAGUUGAAUUUUUCAAUCAAUAGUCGGUUGUUAUUAUAGAUUUAGACCCAAAAAUUAGUAUCAUAUCCAAUAAGCUAAAUAAUGCAUAUUAAGUAUCCGGAUAUUAUUAUUGUUAGUUGUACAUUUCGGAGAAUAGCCGGUUAUCAUUAUCGCAAAAAUACAAGUGAAAUUUAUCAACCGGUUAUUUCACAUAAUUACAUCACUACAAAAAACUUGUUAUUUUACAAAAUUUCAUCAUUAAACUCUAAACACACCAAAUUUUACAUUAAAUUCGAACACAUAAAAGUGAAUUUCUUGGAGAUUCCAUACUUUUUGCAUAUAUUUUCUAUAAUAAUCCAACCACGAACUGUUGUUCUAAUCACAUGGUCAGGUUCAGUACCAGCCCCAUCAAUAUAUGGUUCACUAUUCUGCAACAAAACAAAAUCUUCACACAUCGAGUAAUUCCUAAAAAUAAGUAAGCUCAUGAUAAGGUAUCCAGGCUAAAAAUAGUUGAAAAUAAACAUGAAAAGAGGGAUGAAGCAUAUAAGCAAAACGACAUCUGGUAAAUCUAAAGUAAAAUUACGAUCUCUAACUGCAACACUUUUCCCUAAAUUUAUCGAUUCUCCCACAUAAAUCAUCACCCGGGAUAAAGACCAUACCCUGAGAUCUAUCUCUCUUCCGUUCAAUCCCGCCGUAGACGACGGCGCUUGGCUAUCACCGAUAUGGUUUCGUCUUCAAUCCUCGACCGGUUCAGAUUCUGUUAGCUAGUUUUCGCGACGGUGAUUUCACAGGACCAUUCGCUUAGAGUGUAAGUGGAAGAAGAGAUGUUACGGAGACAUCUUCAUGCGAUAAUGACUCAGCACUUGAAAGUUGAAACUCCUCGAACUCAGAUUUCCAUUUAACAUCACUGGCUUCUCUCUUCGAUCUGUUUUGAGAGAGAGAAAACAAAUGAUAAAACAAUUGAAAAAUGAAAAUACUAAAAAAUGGAAAAAUAAAUUAAUAGGCUUUGUGCAUAGGGGACAGGGGCAGCAGUGGUAUUAUAAAAAUUGAACAGUGAAAAUUCCAUUUUGGCAAAUAUAGCUGUUAUGUUUGUAUAGAGAGUGCAAUUACUCUUAAAAUUAUGCACCUAGAUUAAAAAAUUAUUAUUUUUUAUAUUUUAUACAUCAUUAAUUAUUUACCUAACCACAAAUCAACCAAAAAUAAAAUAGAAGGUAUAUUAUUAUAUAAUAUUAAAUAUUAAUAAAUUUUACAUAAAAAAUCGAAAAUGACAUAUAAUUUGGAACAUAAAAAUUUUUCUAAAACGAUUUAUAUUAAAAAUGGAGGGAGUAUAUAUUAUAGAUUGUAAAAGAGGAGAAAUGUUGGAAAAUAUUUAUUUUAAGAAUUUAACAAAAGGAUAUGUUAAAAGUAAAAAUAAAUAAAAUAAGGAGAGAGGGACAUGAUUCCUAACAGAAAAAGACAAUGAUAAGUGAGUUUAUAUUUGACUUUACAGUUUCCAUUUGUAUAGUCAAUGUUUAUACAUAAAUAAAACUAUUCAAUAUCUUAAGGAACUGCUCACUUGAUCAUGGUUCUAAUACGCUUAUGUGUUUUCACUUCUAUUUUUUUUUUUUUAAAUAGGUGAUUCUUUUGUAAUCAACUCUUCAGAAAUUCAAAUAUGGAAAACUCUUUAAACUAAGAUUAUACGUUUUACCAAAAAAAAACUAAAGUAUACGUGAAUAAUCAACCCGUACUGCUCUGCAUCUCGAUCUUCAAUUCAAAUUACGAACUGCAGCAGGAUCCGUAUAGUAUAAAGACUUGGUUACAUCAUUUUACAAAAUCAUAGUUUAGAUGUUUCUGAAAAAAGUGAAAAUGAUGAAACACGUUUUUAGAUACUGUAUGUACCUAAUUUUUAUAACACAAUAUAAAUAAAUGAUUGUACAUAACUAGAAUUGUAGCAAUCUUUGAUAAAUUCUCGAUGAUGAUCCCAAAUAUUGCAAUUAGUGACUAUUAAGUCAUGAUUAUCGGUGGACCUAAAAGUCAAUAAUUAAUGCUACUUACGUUUUUGAUUUUACGUUCUAUCUCUAACACAUCAAAAAUGUUUUCAUUUUACUAUUUCUUUUAUCCGAGGUUUUUUUGUUUGAAAAAGGGCUUUAUAAAGAUUGACAGAAAGUAGUCAAAUGUAUAAACCUUAUUUGUGUAUGAUCGGUCGCAUCUUCAUAUCCAAGAGGUUUGAAUGCAUAUAUAUGCUUGAAGCUUUUAUAAGAAACUAGAUAUAUAUAUGUUUAGUUUGAAGUUAUAGUACAUUUUCAUUUUCUCAAAAAAAAAGGGUGCAUUUUCUCUCAUAUUAUCAGCCUGUAACUUACCAAAUACCACUCAACCUCUAUUUUGAUAGGAGACAAAAUAAAGCGAAGCUUACACAGAUUUACAUGUUCGCAGUUGAUAUUCACGACUAAAUUUGUGGAAUAUGUACGGAUGCACCAAACUUCUUAAAGAUUUUUUGUUGGUGAGUAGGACUUUUCUUUCACUAUCGUUGUCUGAACGGUUUUAUUAUUAUUUAUUAUAUUUGGGGGUUAAAAAUAUUUGGUUCAUUUAAAAGUGAGAGGCUGCUGUGUAGGCAAAGUUACAUGAUAGAUGAUGUUUCUUAUGACAUUUAUAUAUGAAACUAAGGUCGGCCUACGGUUGGAAUACUCUUUACUUGUGAUAUAUGUUAUUAUUUUUGGUAUGAUUUUGGGUUUGUAUUUUAGGUUUGCAUUUGCAGAGAAGUGUAUAAUAAUGAUUUUUGUAUUUCAGAAAAUUAUAAAUAUGGAGAGAUAAUGUGUUUUAAAAUAAAAGUACAGAGAAAUAAUAUGUGAUAAAAUAUAUUUAAAACUAAAUAGUUGUUUCUAUAUUAAAAAGUUGUGGCGUUAAUAUGCUGAGAAGGCUUCAAAUUGUUUUCAUGUUGUUUUCUUUAACAAAAAUUUGAUCCCAUAUUCAGGUGGUUUGUGAUAUUUGGGUUCGGAAAAAUUGGGUUGUGAGUAAUUUUUAUGUUGAUAUCAUAGUUUUUUGACAUGUUAUUGGAGUGGAAUGAGUGAUUAUUUGGAGCUGCAUUUCUUAUUAAAAGUAGAAUGUUAUAUUGAAUGCGAAGAAGGUAAAGCUAACCUAAUCAAAAUUAUAAAAAAUAACACUGAAGGCAAUAUCUGGUGUAUGAUAAGGCAGGACUUUGUUCUUUGAGAUAGUCAUAUGAUUAUUCAUGUCGGGCAGUUAAUAUUUGAAGCACUUGGAGGAAGUUUUAAAAAAGAAAGAAACUCACUAUCCGUAUUAAACCAAUGAGCAUGGACCCAAACUAUAUAAAUUUUGAUGAUAUUUUUUUUGUCAUAUAUAAAUAUUUUGAUUAAAUUUAAAUUAGCAUAAACCCUAAAUACAUCUAUGAGUAAUACUACUAAAAAAAUGAUAACUAAAUGAUUAAAAGUUUAUUUAAAUUUAUUUGUUUAUUAGGUUAAUUAACAAAUUGAUUUCCAAGUUUAGCAUAUUUUAACUAAAAAAAUCUCAAAUUUAUUAAAAUUCGAUGAUACUAUAUAUAUAUAUAUAUAUAUAAAUACUCAUUAAAUAUAAUAUUUACUUACAAAUUUUUUUUUUAUAAUAAUGUAAUAUUAACUUUAUUGAAAUUUAAACAAAAUCUAACUAAAAUAGUUAAAUCAAAUCAAAAGAAAUAAGACUACACAAAAUAUGUCUAUGAUUUUUAAACCAUUAAAAUUUAAAUAUUAAACUAAUAAUGUUCAAGUAGAAAUUUUUUUUUGAAAUUAAAAAAAUGUAUUAUAUUUAAAAUUAUUAUCUUAUAUCUUAUAACAUAAAGAAGAAGGCAACUCUCUUUUUAGGCUGCCAGCGCAACAAAUAGAUUCAGUACUAUUCGCCACGUGUCCAAGCAUUUAAACGCAGCGCGUUAUUUAGUCCGUGCUUUAUAUGACGCGUUGUUUUGUUGGGCCUUGCUAUUUAGCCCAUGCAAUACAAGAUUGUACGAUACACAAUGUUUUGAAUUAGGUUUACGGUGGUUGUUUUGUUUCGUCUCCAGAUUGAAUCGUUUCUCUCCUUGCGCAGCUGACCUUCCAUCUCCUCCAUCGCAAGACCUCAUAAACUGAACGAGUGUCUUUAAUCCCUCCAUUAAUCUAUCAACCACGAUCUGGAUGCAAUGCGAUAUUUGAUGUCCGAUGCGUUUGAGACGACUAUAAGAAGUCUGGUGGCUCCUCCUCCACCGUCGAAGUGCGCUUGCUUCGCUUCUGGGAGGCUAGAAACGUCUGCCGUGGUGGAGAACUCAUGGGCGUCGACAUGCUCUUGCUCGACUCUCAGUCAACCAUGAUGCCGGCUACCGUUAAUGUUAACCGAUUUUGAAGUCACACGUUGUAACCAGAAUUAUCGCCUGUCAGACUCUUCUCUACUAAUCCGGUUUACCGACUCCACCUCUUUCAAGAAGGUCGCCGAACCAGCCGUUCCGAUACCUCUUGAAUCAUUCCUGUUCCGUAACUACAGUGAGAUGCUUGGUCUUGCUAACUCCAACAAUCAAUUACCGGGUAAUGCUCCUCUUAUUAUCUCUUCUGAUUACAUAUAUAAGGAUAUCUGAUAGUCUUUUGCUCACAAAUCUUAUUGGUGAGAUUACUGCUGUCAAGAGUACGGUCACUGACCCUCCUCAGGACAAUAAUCGUGUCAUGGCGACCAUUAGGAUGGAGAAUGACACAUCUGUGACUAUGAGCCUCUUUGACGCUCAGGCUGUUAAGAUUCAUAAUCAGCUGGAGCAGAUGGGAGUGGAUCCAAGGGUUGUCGUUGCAACCAGUGUGAACCCGAAGAUUGUGGGAGGGCGUCUGUUUUUGAACGCCACAUCCGGCACACACAUCUAUUUCGACAAGCAAACAGAUGCAGGGGAACAAUUGUUUUACAGGUUGGUUGAGCAAGACACUGGGCUCCCGCCAGUA